UUUUUUGGAGAGUUUGAUCCUGGCUCAGGACGAACGCUGGCGGCGUGCUUAACACAUGCAAGUCGAACGGGGUGUUUAUUUCGGUAAACACCAAGUGGCGAACGGGUGAGUAAC
Molecule: ribosomal RNA, 114 nt
Filed under: Megamonas funiformis
Lineage: Bacteria; Bacillati; Bacillota; Negativicutes; Selenomonadales; Selenomonadaceae
Description: partial 16S ribosomal RNA
Rfam family: Bacterial small subunit ribosomal RNA
Source: RNAcentral